AUGGAAAUGAGGAUCCUUUCCCCGAAUGAUCGAAGCUGAUUCGAACUGUGCGAUUUGCUCUCCGGAGCCAAGCCAGAGAACUGAUCCAU
Marchantia polymorpha subsp. polymorpha is the source of this 89-nucleotide small nucleolar RNA. It matches the Rfam family "Small nucleolar RNA Z103". Rfam says of the family: This family consists of several snoRNA Z103 sequences which are members of the C/D class of snoRNA which contain the C (UGAUGA) and D (CUGA) box motifs. This family seems to be found exclusively in plants. C/D box small nucleolar RNAs are known to act as a methylation guides for 18S ribosomal RNA. The record is from Rfam. NCBI's taxonomy places the organism in Eukaryota, Viridiplantae, Streptophyta, Marchantiopsida, Marchantiales, Marchantiaceae.